GAUGAACGCUGACAGAAUGCUUAACACAUGCAAGUCUUUGGCGAAGCUGUGCUUGCACAGCCUAGCCAAGGCGGACGGGUGAGUAACGCGUCAGGAACUUGCCCUACAGUCAGGGAUAACAGACGGAAACGACUGAUAAGACCUGGUAAAGUCAGGCGGACUCAUGUCCAGCCUGAUGAAAAGUGAUGCUGCAGGAGAGCCUUGCGUCCUAUUAGCUUGUUGGUGGGGUAACGGCCCACCAAGGCGAUGAUAGGUAGCCGGCCUGAGAGGGUGGACGGCCACAAGGGGACUGAGAUACGGCCCUUACUCCUACGGGAGGCAGCAGGGGGGAAUAUUGGACAAUGGGGGCAACCCUGAUCCAGCAAUUCUGUGUGCACGAUGAAGGUUUUCGGAUUGUAAAGUGCUUUCAGUAGGGAAGAAAAAAAUGACGGUACCUGCAGAAGAAGCGACGGCUAAAUACGUG
This 463-nucleotide ribosomal RNA is filed under the name uncultured bacterium. RNAcentral describes it as "partial 16S ribosomal RNA". It matches the Rfam family "Bacterial small subunit ribosomal RNA", at positions 28 to 507 of the family's 1533-position model. The record is from RNAcentral.